RNAcentral lists this ribosomal RNA (253 nucleotides) under uncultured bacterium. RNAcentral describes it as "partial 16S ribosomal RNA". It matches the Rfam family "Bacterial small subunit ribosomal RNA", at positions 524 to 776 of the family's 1533-position model. The record is from RNAcentral.
UACGUAGGGUGCGAGCGUUGUCCGGAAUUAUUGGGCGUAAAGAGCUUGUAGGCGGUCUGUCGCGUCUGCUGUGAAAAUCCGGGGCUCAACCCCGGACUUGCAGUGGGUACGGGCAGACUAGAGUGUGGUAGGGGAGACUGGAAUUCCUGGUGUAGCGGUAAAAUGCGCAGAUAUCAGGAGGAACACCGAUGGCGAAGGCAGGUCUCUGGGCCACUACUGACGCUGAGAAGCGAAAGCAUGGGGAGCGAACAGG